This is an RNA transcript of Syngnathoides biaculeatus (alligator pipefish), 3672 nucleotides long. It is a transcript of the gene named eukaryotic translation initiation factor 4eb, with no coding region annotated. The record is from RefSeq and is a predicted model, not a curated record. The transcript has 8 exons. Lineage: Eukaryota; Metazoa; Chordata; Actinopteri; Syngnathiformes; Syngnathidae.
UGGAGUCGUGUCUGGCCGGGGAAGCAACACACCGCGCAUGUCCGGCCAGUAACUGACGGUCACGCUCCUUCGUAAGACCCAAUCAACGGAAACGUUCCUGACACAGAUCUGGAAGAUGGCGACUGCCGAACCGGAAAACAAUCCAAGUCCAUCCCUGCCGAGAGAGGAUGGAACUGAAGAGACAGGAGAGAUUGGUCAGGAAAUUGUGAGCCCAGAAGCCUACAUCAAACACCCCCUACAAAACAGAUGGUCGCUGUGGUUCUUGAAGAUUGACAAGAGCAAAACAUGGCAGGCAAACCUUCGACUCAUCUCCAAAUUUGAUACAGUUGAAGAUUUCUGGGCUGUAUACAACCAUAUCCAGUUGUCCAGCAAUCUCAUGUCAGGCUGUGAUUACUCCCUUUUUAAGGAUGGUAUUGAGCCCAUGUGGGAGGAUGAGAGGAACAAGCACGGAGGACGCUGGCUGAUCACACUCAACAGGCAGCAGAGAAGAUUAGACUUGGACCGCUUCUGGUUAGAAACGCUGGAGCCAAUCCCAGCUAACUUCGGGCAGCGGCAGACUACACCCCGAGCUGGUCGCCAGCCAGUCGCAGUGCAGAUGUCGACACCAUCACUGAGCGGGAAUCGAUGCCACGCUGCUUUUACUCGAAAUGUCCCUCUGAGGGAAACCCGAACUACAAUGUGGCCCGCAAGAGAAAUGAGUUUGCCAUCCCUGCACUACACCAUCAGAAAAAAAAAAUGGAACAACUCCUCUGCUUAGUGGGAGAGGCCUUUGACGACUACAGCGACGAAGUUUGUGGCGCUGUGGUCAACAUCCGCACAAAAGGAGAUAAAAUUGCUGUCUGGACAGGAAACUAUGAGAACCGCAAUGCUAUAACACACAUAGGGAGAGUUUACAAAGAGCGCUUGGGGCUCCCCUUAAAGAUGACUAUUGGCUACCAAUCUCACUUUGACACAGCACAACCUACCCCAAAGAACAAAUUUGUUGUUUGAGAAGCACCUAUUGUGCCCCUUUUUCAACUUCUGGUCAUAUUUGUUUUUGGUGCGUAUGUUUACUUCGCUGCAAAGACUGCGGAAUGCAAUCCAAGAUUACAUGCCAAAUCUUUCCAUACCCUGCCCAAAUUUUUGACCACAUAAAUAAUUCAAUAUGAAUAUUCCAAAACACUAAACAAACACUUGGACAAUGAUUGUAAUUGGAAUAGUUUAGCAAAAAUCCCAACUGAUAUAUGAACACUAAACUAAAAAAAAAUUGUUUCUGUGUUUGUCAGGUUAAUGCCUUGUAAACGUAUCCAUUUAGUGGUAAUAAUAGAGGUUGCUGUUAAGAGUUCUUAAUGAAAACAUUUUUUUAAUUGCAGUCAAUCCCUUAAUACAAAAAUUUAUAUUUUUCUGCCAUUUUUUUACAGCAUGGGUGGUUUGCUAUAAUUGUAUAAGAAAUUAAACCCUCUAAUUUAUUCUAGCCUCCAUAUUAAUUUGGUAGGGGUUUUUUUUUUUUCUUUGUGCCCUGACUGUUGCAUGUAAUCCAUCUUCUUCGCCAAAAUGUUUCUUGAAUAAUACUUUUGAGUGUUAAUAUAAUAAAAAUGGUAACAUUGCAAUUAUUUGCAAUUAAAUUGUUUGCAAAUUGUCAUAUAUAAUAGGAUAGCAAAUUCAGAGUUACUGACUCUGGUUGUCUAGCAGGCAUUUAAACAUGCUGCCAAUACUAAAGGCUACAAACAGAUAUGCAUUAACUAUUAGUUCCCCCACCCACCCCCUGAUAAUCAUCCUAUAAUCCUUUUUUAAAAUGUCAGUGUAAUUCAGAAAGAAAAGGUUGUUUUUGAGAACAUAGUUUAAAAUUUUGGCUAAUUUCUACAUCAGCUGCUUCACAAAUAUUAUCUGAAUAUACAAAUGCCUUCAGAAAAUGCAGUAAUCUUGAAGACAGUGGCCACACCAAGUGCUAAUGCAGCUCUAAAAUGGCUAUGGGAACACUGUUUAGAUUGAGGGUCUCAAACUCAUUUUACCUUGGGGCCGCUAGAAGCAGAAUCUGGCUGAGGGUGGGCCUUGUUUAAGUUAAAGUUCCGAGAGCAGCCUGUAAAGGUCAUUUCAUUUCCAUGUAUGAUCCCUUUUCAGAAAAUUCUCGCAGCUUGAUGGCCAAUUGACUCAACAUCUGGGUGAAUUAUGAAACAACACCAAUUGCUUCAUAUUGCUUCAGCAAAUUAUCUUUUUGUAUUUUUUUUUUGGUUUUAAAUUAUUUUUAGUCUCGGCCCACUUACGGAUACAGCAAAUAGGAUGUUCCUUGUGUUCUGUUUUUUUAUUCGCUAAGGAAAACCCUGCAUUGUGUUCUGCGUCCCAAUUGGCUAAGUUACUGUAGACAAGAGGUCUCAAACUGGAAGAGAUAAUAUUUUGUGGCCCCCUCCUUAAUUUGAAACUUUGUUAGUGCAGCCCUUGAGUUUGACAUGAAUGGCAAUUUUGCAGUGUUGUGUCAUGGUGGGAUACUGUAUAUGGCCUUCGGGCACGUAGAAGAAGAGAAAUGUUUAGUUUCUAUCACUGUUUGCAGCUAUUCUUGCAUUGUGUGGAUGUUGUUGUAUUCCCUGCAUAAAGGCAUCACUUAACCAACUUAUAACCACUGCUAUUGCCCCGACAAAUUCAAAAUUGGCAGAAAUAUAUCCACUAUUGGCACAACAGAGUAAUGACAGUGAUAUUUUUGACCACUAUGAUGACGUUAUGACUUCUCUUCCAGACUUGUUCUCUGAUCCAGAAGAUUACAAGUAAUUAGUGCUAUAUUUUCCGACUGUAAGCCGAAAGGGUGAUCUAUUAGAUGAUUUAUGGAUUUGAGCAAAUGUAGGAUAAACAUGAGGAUAAUGUAGAAAUAAUUGUAAAUAGUAUUAAGUAACUGCUUCUGACUGCAAUGAAGAAAUGCUUUGCUCUGCUUCAAUUCAGUUACUGUUUCUGCCUGCAAUGAAGAAAUGCUUUGCUCUGCUCCAAUUCAGUUUCUGUCUCUGCCUGCAAUGAAGAAUGCUUUGCUCUGCUCUAGAAAACGUAGUAGCAAAUGUAGGAUAAAAAGGGGGGAAAUGUAGGAAUAAUUGUGAUCAUAAUUAUCAUACAUUUGCUUCCAAUAAAGAAAUGCUUUGCUCUGCCCUAGAUAACGUGGCAGCCUCCUCGCAGGAGAUAGCAAGAACAAAAACAUCUAAUCAUCAGAACUGUUAGAACUGCUGCCUGUUCAAGAAAUGAUGACCACACAUGUAUUCAGCAAUCUUCCACACAUGCACACGCACAAGAACAAACAUGUACACCUUGUUUCAACAGCACAACAGUUCUCGGGCAAAUCUGCUCCAGUUCAAUGACUCCCGUACUGACAAGCAGGUUUGUUUGGCCGGCAAUCCAUUGAUCUUUUCUUUUCAGCUGGUAUUCUAUGAAAUUAUAUCUUUGAAGAAUUGUCUUGUCUCUGUUGGUUGUAGAAACCAACAGCACAACAGUUCUCGGGCAAUUUGAAAAAUCUGCUCCAGUUCUGCAACUCUUGCACUGUCGAGCGGCUAGGUUUGACCGGCAAUAUGGCGCCAUACAAACUGUGACGUCACAUGUACGGGCUCUAUUCCAGCUGUCAUCGGGCAGGAGGUGGGGUAGACACCGAACUGGUUCCCAGCCAAACGCAGGGCACAUGAAGACAGACAACAGUCAAAAUCACACCAAGGGUCAAUUUAA